RNAcentral lists this ribosomal RNA (440 nucleotides) under uncultured bacterium. RNAcentral describes it as "partial 16S ribosomal RNA". It matches the Rfam family "Bacterial small subunit ribosomal RNA", at positions 338 to 795 of the family's 1533-position model. The record is from RNAcentral.
CCUACGGGAGGCAGCAGUGGGGAAUAUUGCACAAUGGGGGAAACCCUGAUGCAGCAACGCCGCGUGAGUGAUGACGGACUUCGGGUUGUAAAGCUCUAUCUUCAGGGACGAUAAUGACGGUACCUGAGGAGGAAGCCACGGCUAACUACGUGCCAGCAGCCGCGGUAAUACGUAGGUGGCGAGCGUUGUCCGGAUUUACUGGGCGUAAAGGGAGCGUAGGCGGUUCUUGAAGUGAGAUGUGAAAUCCCCGGGCUCAACUUCGGUGCUGCAUUUGAAACUGUAAGGCUAGAGUGCAGGAGAGGAGAAUGGAAUUCCUAGUGUAGCGGUGAAAUGCGUAGAGAUUAGGAAGAACACCAGUGGCGAAGGCGAUUCGCUGGACUGUAACUGACGUUGAGGCUCGAAAGCGUGGGGAGCAAACAGGAUUAGAUACCCCAGUAGUC